Molecule: long non-coding RNA, 538 nt
Filed under: Homo sapiens (human)
Lineage: Eukaryota; Metazoa; Chordata; Mammalia; Primates; Hominidae
Description: HSALNT0362686
Source: RNAcentral
ACCCCAGUUGAACUGAAUUUGCUCACUGGGCAGAGGCAGGACUGGAGGGGAGGGCCUUUCUCCAGGGCCUUCCACAGCAGCGGGUGAAUCACCAACCACCCUGCCUUGGAGAAAGGCCUUAAGAUAGAUUUUUUUUUCCUCUUUAAAUUCUCUGAAGACUGAAGUUCCUUAAAGACUAAGAAAACACUUGCCUCCCUUCCAGCUCCUUUUCCUGGUGCUCUGAGGAACAUUUCGGGAGCCUCCAGAACUGAAGAGGGGGCCAACUCUCUGGAGAAAAAUGAAUGGAUGUAGGCCCAAAGGAGCCGAAUGUUUUCCUUGGCUGAAUGGCAAGCAAGCACCAAGUGUCCACAGUUUCCGGAGUGUGGAUAUGAACAGCCGUCUUGGGUCCUGAGGUGGAAGCCAUGUGUGGAAGAUGGAGGGCAUCGGUUAGAAGGAGUCUAGUCCCUGAUGGUCACUGAGCUGCAGAACCAGCCUGGGCUGCUUCCUGCUGGAUGUCACUUACUAGAGAGCGAAAUUAAAUGUGCUUCAGCUACUGUUA